This 253-nucleotide ribosomal RNA is filed under the name uncultured bacterium. Its description in RNAcentral is "partial 16S ribosomal RNA". It matches the Rfam family "Bacterial small subunit ribosomal RNA", at positions 524 to 776 of the family's 1533-position model. The record is from RNAcentral.
UACGGAGGGUGCGAGCGUUGUCCGGAAUCACUGGGCGUAAAGGGCGCGUAGGCGGCCGGAGAAGUCGGUGGUGAAAGCUCGGGGCUCAACUCCGAGUCGGCCACCGAUACUGUUCGGCUCGAGUUUGGUAGAGGCAGAUGGAAUUCCGGGUGUAGCGGUGGAAUGCGUAGAGAUCCGGAAGAACACCGGUGGCGAAGGCGGUCUGCUGGGCCAAGACUGACGCUGAGGCGCGACAGCGUGGGGAGCAAACAGG